GAUGAACGCUAGCUACAGGCUUAACACAUGCAAGUCGAGGGGCAUCAGGAAGAAAGCUUGCUUUCUUUGCUGGCGACCGGCGCACGGGUGCGUAACGCGUAUGUAACCUGCCUGUCAGAAGGGAAUAACCCGGUGAAAGUCGGACUAAUACCCUAUAUGCUCACGAGAGGCACCUGCCUUGGUGAGGAAAGAUUUAUCACUGACAGAUGGACAUGCGUCCCAUUAGCUUGUUGGUAGGGUAACGGCCUACCAAGGCAACGAUGGGUAGGGGAACUGAGAGGUUUAUCCCCCACAUUGGUACUGAGACACGGACCAA
RNAcentral lists this ribosomal RNA (316 nucleotides) under uncultured bacterium. RNAcentral describes it as "bacterial SSU rRNA". It matches the Rfam family "Bacterial small subunit ribosomal RNA", at positions 28 to 334 of the family's 1533-position model. The record is from RNAcentral.